RNAcentral lists this ribosomal RNA (451 nucleotides) under uncultured Methanolinea sp. RNAcentral describes it as "bacterial SSU rRNA". It matches the Rfam family "Archaeal small subunit ribosomal RNA", at positions 889 to 1338 of the family's 1478-position model. Lineage: Archaea; Methanobacteriati; Methanobacteriota; Methanomicrobia; Methanomicrobiales; Methanoregulaceae. The record is from RNAcentral.
UGGAGCCUGCGGUUUAAUUGGACUCAACGCCGGGCAGCUCACCGGAUAAGACAGCUGGAUGAUAGCCGGGCUGAAGACUCUGCUUGACUAGCUGAGAGGAGGUGCAUGGCCGUCGUCAGUUCGUACUGUGAAGCAUCCUGUUAAGUCAGGCAACGAGCGAGACCCACGCCAACAGUUGCCAGCAUGUCCUCCGGGAUGAUGGGGACACUGUUGGGACCGCCUCUGCUAAAGAGGAGGAAGGAAUGGGCAACGGUAGGUCAGCAUGCCCCGAAUUAUCCGGGCUACACGCGGGCUACAAUGGUCAGGACAAUGGGUAUCGACACCGAGAGGUGGAGGCAAUCUCCUAAACCUGUCCUUAGUUCGGAUUGUGGGCUGCAACUCCGCCCACAUGAAGCUGGAAUCCGUAGUAAUCGCGUUUCAAAAUAGCGCGGUGAAUAUGUCCCUGCUCCUU